RNAcentral lists this transfer RNA (72 nucleotides) under Actinoplanes sp. SE50/110. Its description in RNAcentral is "tRNA-Lys". It matches the Rfam family "tRNA". From Rfam's summary of the family: Transfer RNA (tRNA) molecules are approximately 80 nucleotides in length. Lineage: Bacteria; Bacillati; Actinomycetota; Actinomycetes; Micromonosporales; Micromonosporaceae. The record is from RNAcentral.
GCGCCGCUAGCUGAGUGGUUUAGCACCCGCCUCUUAAGCGGGAGACCUCGGUUCGAUCCCGAGGCGGCGUAC